GUGCUCACUUUGGCACAAUAUACUAUAUUGUGCACAUAUACUAAACUGGAACAACACAGAGAAGAUUAGCGUGGCCCCUGCACAAGGAUGACACAUAAAUUCAUGAAGCAUUCCAUAAAUAU
Small nuclear RNA from Saimiri boliviensis boliviensis (Bolivian squirrel monkey), 122 nucleotides. Lineage: Eukaryota; Metazoa; Chordata; Mammalia; Primates; Cebidae. The record is from Ensembl.